AGAGUUUGAUCCUGGCUCAGGAUGAACGCUGGCGGCGUGCUUAACACAUGCAAGUCGAGCGAAGCAGUUAAGUUGAUUUCUUCGGAUUGAUUCUUAACUGACUGAGCGGCGGACGGGUGAGUAACGCGUGGGUGACCUGCCCCAUACCGGGGGAUAACAGCUGGAAACGGCUGCUAAUACCGCAUAAGCGCACAGAGCUGCAUGGCUCGGUGUGAAAAACUCCGGUGGUAUGGGAUGGGCCCGCGUCUGAUUAGGCAGUUGGCGGGGUAACGGCCCACCAAACCGACGAUCAGUAGCCGGCCUGAGAGGGCGACCGGCCACAUUGGGACUGAGACACGGCCCAAACUCCUACGGGAGGCAGCAGUGGGGAAUAUUGCACAAUGGGGGAAACCCUGAUGCAGCGACGCCGCGUGAGCGAAGAAGUAUUUCGGUAUGUAAAGCUCUAUCAGCAGGGAAGAUAAUGACGGUACCUGACUAAGAAGCCCCGGCUAACUACGUGCCAGCAGCCGCGGU
Molecule: ribosomal RNA, 513 nt
Filed under: uncultured Gram-positive bacterium
Lineage: Bacteria
Description: bacterial SSU rRNA
Rfam family: Bacterial small subunit ribosomal RNA
Source: RNAcentral